Molecule: unclassified non-coding RNA, 179 nt
Filed under: fungal sp.
Lineage: Eukaryota; Fungi
Description: partial internal transcribed spacer region
Rfam family: Eukaryotic small subunit ribosomal RNA (bases 1-46)
Source: RNAcentral
AAGUCGUAACAAGGUUUCCGUAGGUGAACCUGCGGAAGGAUCAUUAAAAAUUUAUAUUCCGGGAAUUCGUUUCGUUUUCCCGUGAUUAUUUGUAUUCAAAUCCCACUCUUUAUAAAUAUAUUAAUUAUAUAAAACAAAAAAUAAAAAGAAAACUUUCAACAACGGAUCUCUUGGCUCUC